This 398-nucleotide ribosomal RNA is filed under the name uncultured bacterium. RNAcentral's name for it is "partial 16S ribosomal RNA". It matches the Rfam family "Bacterial small subunit ribosomal RNA", at positions 523 to 918 of the family's 1533-position model. The record is from RNAcentral.
AUACGUAGGGUGCGAGCGUUGUCCGGAAUUACUGGGCGUAAAGAGCUCGUAGGUGGUUUGUCGCGUCGUCUGUGAAAUUCCGGGGCUUAACUCCGGGCGUGCAGGCAAUACGGGCAUAACUUGAGUACUGUAGGGGAGACUGGAAUUCCUGGUGUAGCGGUGAAAUGCGCAGAUAUCAGGAGGAACACCGGUGGCGAAGGCGGGUCUCUGGGCAGUAACUGACGCUGAGGAGCGAAAGCAUGGGUAGCGAACAGGAUUAGAUACCCUGGUAGUCCAUGCCGUAAACGGUGGGCGCUAGGUGUAGGGGUCUUCCACGACUUCUGUGCCGUAGCUAACGCAUUAAGCGCCCCGCCUGGGGAGUACGGCCGCAAGGCUAAAACUCAAAUGAAUUGGCGGGG